RNAcentral lists this ribosomal RNA (407 nucleotides) under uncultured bacterium. RNAcentral's name for it is "partial 16S ribosomal RNA". It matches the Rfam family "Bacterial small subunit ribosomal RNA", at positions 355 to 755 of the family's 1533-position model. The record is from RNAcentral.
UGGGGAAUUUUGGACAAUGGGCGAAAGCCUGAUCCAGCAAUGCCGCGUGUGUGAAGAAGGCCUUCGGGUUGUAAAGCACUUUUGUCCGGAAAGAAAUCCUUGGCUCUAAUACAGUCGGGGGAUGACGGUACCGGAAGAAUAAGCACCGGCUAACUACGUGCCAGCAGCCGCGGUAAUACGUAGGGUGCAAGCGUUAAUCGGAAUUACUGGGCGUAAAGCGUGCGCAGGCGGUUUGCUAAGACCGAUGUGAAAUCCCCGGGCUCAACCUGGGAACUGCAUUGGUGACUGGCAGGCUAGAGUAUGGCAGAGGGGGGUGAGAAUUCCACGUGUAGCAGUGAAAUGCGUAGAGAUGUGGAGGAAUACCGAUGGCGAAGGCAGCCCCUGGCAAGUACUGACGCUCAUGCACG